AAAAACAAGCGUGGCUUCUGUACUUAGCAGCAGUCUUCCUGUCUGGAAAGGAAACAUUGCUCAGAUUGGAGAUACUGGCCAUUUUAUAGACUUCAAAGCAACUUAGGCAACUGAACUGUCAGGCGGGAAAACAGAGUUAUAAGGAUUCAUCUGGGUACUGAAGACAUUUGGGACCUCAGUGAAGUUUCUCCGAGGCCAGAUGGUCACAUUGAUUUUCUGGAAUCAUUUUGAAUAAAAAUGAGCGAGGUGGUGAACGCAAUGCAAGGCUCUCCACGUACUGUCUGGUAUUGUUCAACCAGCUCCACGACUCCCUGAGGGCAGAGAUGAGCAGAUGUUAAUGGAUAAAGCCAGGUGGGAUGAUGUUAUAACAUUUCUCCUACAGCCCCAAAUCUCCCACCUCCUGCAUGUGUGACCUGAGUAAGAGUCGGUGCAAGAAGACGUCGGUGUUCCCAUCUGUGAAAUGAAGGAAUUGACCCCCGAGGAUCUUCCAUUUCUGACAGUGCUUUGGAUUUCAUUGGUUUUGUCACAGGUACCCCCCAAAAGCCUCCAUCUUUGGAUAAGUGAUUAAAACUGCUGAGUAAUUUUCAAUCAAUAAAA
This 597-nucleotide small RNA is filed under the name Pan troglodytes (chimpanzee). RNAcentral describes it as "processed transcript". The record is from RNAcentral. Lineage: Eukaryota; Metazoa; Chordata; Mammalia; Primates; Hominidae.